RNAcentral lists this ribosomal RNA (85 nucleotides) under Archaeosporaceae sp. Its description in RNAcentral is "partial large subunit ribosomal RNA". The record is from RNAcentral. Lineage: Eukaryota; Fungi; Glomeromycota; Glomeromycetes; Archaeosporales; Archaeosporaceae.
GUUGUAAUUUGAAGAAGCGUAUAUCACGUUUUUGUUCGGGUUCAAGUUCCUUGGAAUAGGACAUCAGAGAGGGUGAGAAUCCCGU